GACGAACGCUGGCGGCGUGCUUAACACAUGCAAGUCGAACGGAAAGGCCCUUCUUUUGUGGGGUGCUCGAGUGGCGAACGGGUGAGUAACACGUGAGUAACCUGCCCUUGACUUUGGGAUAACUUCAGGAAACUUGGGCUAAUACCGGAUAGGAGCUCCUGCUGCAUGGUGGGGGUUGGAAAGUUUCGGCGGUUGGGGAUGGACUCGCGGCUUAUCAGCUUGUUGGUGGGGUAGUGGCUUACCAAGGCUUUGACGGGUAGCCGGCCUGAGAGGGUGACCGGCCACAUUGGGACUGAGAUACGGCCCAGACUCCUACGGGGGGCAGCAGUGGGGAAUAUUGCACAAUGGGCGGAAGCCUGAUGCAGCAACGCCGCGUGCGGGAUGACGGCCUUCGGGUUGUAAACCGCUUUCGCCUGUGACGAAGCGUGAGUGACGGUAAUGGGUAAAGAAGCACCGGCUAACUACGUG
Molecule: ribosomal RNA, 468 nt
Filed under: uncultured bacterium
Lineage: Bacteria
Description: partial 16S ribosomal RNA
Rfam family: Bacterial small subunit ribosomal RNA
Source: RNAcentral